RNAcentral lists this ribosomal RNA (492 nucleotides) under uncultured bacterium. Its description in RNAcentral is "partial 16S ribosomal RNA". It matches the Rfam family "Bacterial small subunit ribosomal RNA", at positions 29 to 507 of the family's 1533-position model. The record is from RNAcentral.
AGUGAACGCUGGCGGUAGGCCUAACACAUGCAAGUCGAACGGCAGCACAGUAAGAGCUUGCUCUUACGGGUGGCGAGUGGCGGACGGGUGAGGAAUACAUCGGAAUCUACUUUUUCGUGGGGGAUAACGUAGGGAAACUUACGCUAAUACCGCAUACGACCUACGGGUGAAAGCAGGGGAUCUUCGGACCUUGCGCGAUUGAAUGAGCCGAUGUCGGAUUAGCUAGUUGGCGGGGUAAAGGCCCACCAAGGCGACGAUCCGUAGCUGGUCUGAGAGGAUGAUCAGCCACACUGGAGCUGAGACACGGUCAAGACUCCUACGGGAGGCAGCAGUGGGGAAUAUUGGACAAUGGGCGCAAGCCUGAUCCAGCCAUACCGCGUGGGUGAAGAAGGCCUUCGGGUUGUAAAGCCCUUUUGUUGGGAAAGAAAAGCAGCAGGUUAAUACCCCGCUGUUCUGACGGUACCCAAAGAAUAAGCACCGGCUAACUUCGUG